GUGACCCCGGCCUCCGCUUCCACUUCAGCCUCCCCAAAAGCAGCUACGACUCCCCCUUUGAAGAGAGAAGAUCCCUAAUACGCUCUCACUCCCAAUUUCUCUCCCACCGCGACGCCGCAGCCGCCGUCCACCACUUCCACCGCUCAUUCGCCGGAAAUAUUCUCCUAGCCGGCGGAGUUGACAGCUCAUUCAUGGAGGAUUGCGUGCUCUACGCCAUCAAUCACGGCCUUCGAUCCCUCCACCUCCACCUCCACCUCCUCCAUCCCGACUACAGCCUACUGAGGCUACCCGCAAAGUUUCUUGCCAGCAAAACGCUGCGGGAGCUCGACAUCAGAGAGUUUGGUUUCUACAGCAUUCAGCCCUUUUCCCGCCUCCCCGAGAUGGAGAAGCUAACUCUCAUCAAGUAUUUUCGUGAUGUCCCUCUUGUUAUAAAAGCUCCAAUGCUCAGACUUCUUAAACUCUACGGUUGCUACGUAGUCAGACACAGUUAUGCUCCAUUGCUUACCUCCUUUACCUACAAGUCUCCUGAUGUUUGGGAGUGUAAAGACGCGAAUCUCCCAAUGUUAGAACAAGUCUAUUUAGACAUUCAUAAGAGUAAAUUAUGUCGUCAUCACAAUCAUACCAACUUUCUUACUAUGCUUCACCAAUUACGGAGUCGGUACGCAACCACGGUUUCACUAACUUUGGACACUAUCAAGGUAUUUCUCUAUCUUCACCAAUUAAGUAUCUCCUCAUACUAAUACACUAUCAAGGUACAUUUCUCUAUUUCCUCACACAUUCUUGCUUUUUUUCUUGCUCUCUUGCUUCACCUUCACUUCGAUAGGUAAUUCUUGCCUUUUCUCUUUCUUUUAGUUACUGUAAAUCUGGUUGGUGGGAAAGGUUUUCUUGGUGGGCUCCAAAUUAUCUGGGAAUAAUAAAUGAUGUUUUCCCUGUUUGAUCCGAUUAAAAAGCUCGGAUCUUUUGUGAUUUGGAUGCAUUUUUAGCUUGCUUUAGUUGGCUAAUUCGAGAUUAAGGUAUUCACUGCUUAGUUUUCUUAAAUCAGGAAUUGGCUUUGGUUAGUAAUUGGGAAUUUAAGGUGAAUUCGGUUGCCAAUCUUGAGUUGUUGUAGAAAAAUAAAAAUUCGAUCUUGAUUCUUCUACUGCUUUCGAGCGUAUGGAAAUUCAAUCAGAAUGCUAGUGAUUUCAUUAACUUAAUCGAGGGAGAUUUAGGAUUAGUUAAUCUUGAUGUGUUGAGGUGUAAAACAACAGAAUUGAUGUAUUUAAUUUGUUGUUAAGCUUUCAGUAGGUUUUGAUUUGUAUUUGCAGAUCACAAUAGUAUAGUGUAGCUUUUGCUGUAGUUGUGUUUGAUUCAUUUGUACUGAAAUUUGAGUACCUGCUGAGAAUGCGGGGCUACAUCAUGAUUUGAUGUUCGAUGUCUUUCUUUGUCUUCGAUUUAUAAAAUGUUUACUUCGUUGUCUAUCUUCAGAAGCAUACGACGCGCUUGAUCCUAAUGGGGAUAACUGUGUUUACGACAAAACGUCUCCCUGCUGAUGUUGCUCAUCACUAUGCUCAUAGUGAUCGCAUUCCACUUCUCAUGUGUUUGAGAAUCGUCCAUCUUUAACAGCAAGGUUUAUGUCAGUGUGGCUGCCAUUGCAGAACUUCGUUGUGAAAGUCCAAGAAAAUUGACCAACUCAAGUUCUUCGUCCCUGUGUCGUUUUGAUGUAUUUCACAUGAUUCAGGUUUGGAAGCCAAUCAUCAUCACAUCAUUGCCAGAAAGAAAAACGCAACACAAAUUAUGAAUGUUGUGAGGAAAGCUCGACUCUGAGGCGCAGAGUUUGGCAGGAACGGGUAAGACUCCGGUGGGGGUAGCAUACAUUCCUCGCCGUUGAAAUAGACUUUCCGGGGAAACGCCCAUCCUUCCUUGAAGGUCAAGUUUGGAAUCGGAAUCCAUCAGAUGUCUGAUUAUAACAGUUUCUUGAUUUUAUUGAUGGCUGGUGGAUAGAUAUGAAAGAACUUACUGAUGGAGCCGUAGGGAACUAGAGGCUUGUAAUCAAAGCUGAAAACUUGAG
Long non-coding RNA from Salvia splendens (bonfire salvia), 2047 nucleotides. RefSeq lists it as uncharacterized. The record is from RefSeq and is a predicted model, not a curated record. Lineage: Eukaryota; Viridiplantae; Streptophyta; Magnoliopsida; Lamiales; Lamiaceae. The transcript has 4 exons.